This 88-nucleotide transfer RNA is filed under the name Klebsiella pneumoniae. RNAcentral describes it as "tRNA-Ser". It matches the Rfam family "tRNA". From Rfam's summary of the family: Transfer RNA (tRNA) molecules are approximately 80 nucleotides in length. Their secondary structure includes four short double-helical elements and three loops (D, anti-codon, and T loops). The record is from RNAcentral. Lineage: Bacteria; Pseudomonadati; Pseudomonadota; Gammaproteobacteria; Enterobacterales; Enterobacteriaceae.
GGAAGUGUGGCCGAGCGGUUGAAGGCACCGGUCUUGAAAACCGGCGACCCUAAAGGGUUCCAGAGUUCGAAUCUCUGCGCUUCCGCCA